Long non-coding RNA from Salvia splendens (bonfire salvia), 507 nucleotides. RefSeq lists it as uncharacterized. The transcript has 2 exons. The record is from RefSeq and is a predicted model, not a curated record. Lineage: Eukaryota; Viridiplantae; Streptophyta; Magnoliopsida; Lamiales; Lamiaceae.
CCACAUUAAUAAAGAAAGCAGUGGAGAAUAGAAUUUAAAAGCCCAAUUAAUAUUGGAAGUUUAUUUCAAAAAGUCAAAAUUAGACCACUUUUUCUAUACCCAACUCGGCCACCGCCACCGCCGCCGUAUCACUUCGUCACUUCCACCGUGUUCACCGCAUUUCACACAGCUCAUUCCAUAUUCUUCUAUCUCUCCAAACCUUUAUUAAUUAAGUUUUCUGGCUUGUGAGGUUCCAGCUUCAACUCAAAUCCUGUGAAAUUAAGCAUCUUAGGUUGUGAUGCAGUUCUAGCCGACGAUGCUGAAAGUCACACUUGAAAUUCGCACGGGACUUGCGAAACAGGGGCCGAGGACUCAAUGUCAUCGCUACUCCUUUAUGUAUGAUGGAAUUUUGCCACCAGAGAUCAUUUAAGGGGGCACAAAUGUCAUUUUAUUAUUUUUUGGAUUUUAUUUUGUUUUAUGCAUUUUCGGUUUUCCUUUUAUUUGAAACUAAAUCAAAAUUUUACUUGA